RNAcentral lists this ribosomal RNA (252 nucleotides) under uncultured prokaryote. RNAcentral describes it as "partial 16S ribosomal RNA". It matches the Rfam family "Bacterial small subunit ribosomal RNA", at positions 523 to 774 of the family's 1533-position model. The record is from RNAcentral.
AUACGGGGGGGGCAAGCGUUGUUCGGAAUUACUGGGCGUAAAGGGCUCGUAGGCGGCCAACUAAGUCGGACGUGAAAUCCCUCGGCUUAACCGGGGAACUGCGUCCGAUACUGGAUGGCUUGAGUUCGGGAGAGGGAUGCGGAAUUCCAGGUGUAGCGGUGAAAUGCGUAGAUAUCUGGAGGAACACCGGUGGCGAAGGCGGCAUCCUGGACCGACACUGACGCUGAGGAGCGAAAGCCAGGGGAGCAAACG